GAUGAACGCUAGCUACAGGCUUAACACAUGCAAGUCGAGGGGAAACGAUAUUGGAAGCUUGCUUCCGAUAGGCGUCGACCGGCGCACGGGUGAGUAACGCGUAUCCAACCUGCCCAUCACUUGGGGAUAACCUUGCGAAAGUAAGACUAAUACCCAAUGAUAUCCGUCGAAGACAUCUGAAGUGGAUUAAAGAUUCAUCGGUGAUGGAUGGGGAUGCUUAUGAUUAGCUUGUUGGCGGGGUAACGGCCCACCAAGGCAACGAUCAGUAGGGGUUCUGAGAGGAAGGUCCCCCACAUGAGAACUGAGACAAGGUCCAAACUCCUACGGGAGGAAGCAGUGAGGAAUAUUGGUCAAUGGACGAGAGUCUGAACCAGCCAAGUAGCGUGCAGGAUGACGGCCUUAUGGGUUGUAAACUGCUUUUAUAAGGGAAUAAAGUGGGAGUCGUGACUCCUUUUGCAUGUACCUUAUGAAUAAGGACCGGCUAAUUCCGUGCCAGCAGCCGCCGUAA
Molecule: ribosomal RNA, 508 nt
Filed under: uncultured bacterium
Lineage: Bacteria
Description: partial 16S ribosomal RNA
Rfam family: Bacterial small subunit ribosomal RNA
Source: RNAcentral